GAUGAACGCUGGCGGCGUGCUUAACACAUGCAAGUCGAACGAUGAAGCCCAGUUUGCUGGGUGGAUUAGUGGCGAACGGGUGAGUAACACGUGAGUAACCUGCCCUUAACUCUGGGAUAAGCCUGGGAAACUGGGUCUAAUACCGGAUAGGAGCGUCCACCGCAUGGUGGGUGUUGGAAAGAUUUAUCGGUUUUGGAUGGACUCGCGGCCUAUCAGCUUGUUGGUGAGGUAAUGGCUCACCAAGGCGACGACGGGUAGCCGGCCUGAGAGGGUGACCGGCCACACUGGGACUGAGACACGGCCCAGACUCCUACGGGAGGCAGCAGUGGGGAAUAUUGCACAAUGGGCGCAAGCCUGAUGCAGCGACGCCGCGUGAGGGAUGACGGCCUUCGGGUUGUAAACCUCUUUCAGUAGGGAAGAAGCGAAAGUGACGGUACCUGCAGAAGAAGCACCGGCUAACUACGUG
RNAcentral lists this ribosomal RNA (466 nucleotides) under uncultured bacterium. Its description in RNAcentral is "partial 16S ribosomal RNA". It matches the Rfam family "Bacterial small subunit ribosomal RNA", at positions 28 to 507 of the family's 1533-position model. The record is from RNAcentral.